This 472-nucleotide long non-coding RNA is filed under the name Phascolarctos cinereus (koala). Its description in RNAcentral is "lncRNA (ENSPCIG00000030865.1)". The record is from RNAcentral. Lineage: Eukaryota; Metazoa; Chordata; Mammalia; Diprotodontia; Phascolarctidae.
GUUUUGGGUCUAUUAACUGAUGUUGCUAAUUUUUUUUUUUUCUUUUUGAUUUCAUCAUCUUUGAAACCUAGGAAGGAAAUGAGAUAUUGGCAUGAAUAAAACAACAAUGUGGCUUUUGGACACUCAAGCUAAAUAAAAGAAAUUGUACACGACCACUGCUUACUUAUUUAUGGUGUCUUUUCUCAAGCUACCCUCUCGGAGUUCUGGGAAGCUCCGCUUGCUGGUGUAUUUUAAGAAAAUUGUGAAGAAGUCAAGACUUGUGAGAGAAUUCUCCCAUCUUUCUUCUUGCCAUCCCCUUGCUUUGGCCUUACCCACUUGGGUAUCCAGUAUCCUCACAGUGGACCCCAAAUGCAACAUACCAUCUGACCUUGUCCUCUCUGUACAAUUACAAGUUCUCUCUCUGGUUGUGAAGCACAAAGUUGGUGAGUAUUCGAUUUCCAGCCCCAUUUUGUUUUCAACACAGUUAAAUCAA